RNAcentral lists this ribosomal RNA (326 nucleotides) under uncultured eukaryote. RNAcentral's name for it is "partial 18S ribosomal RNA". It matches the Rfam family "Eukaryotic small subunit ribosomal RNA", at positions 1470 to 1796 of the family's 1831-position model. The record is from RNAcentral.
CCCCUAGAUGUUCUGGGCCGCACGCGCGCUACACUGAACAGUUCAACAAGUCUUAACCUUGGCCGAAAGGUCUGGGUAAUCUCCAAAUUUCGUCGUGAUGGGGAUAGAUUAUUGCAAUUAUUAAUCUUCAACGAGGAAUGCCUAGUAAGCGCAAGUCAUCAGCUUGCGUUGAUUACGUCCCUGCCCUUUGUACACACCGCCCGUCGCUCCUACCGAUUGAAUGGUCCGGUGAAGCGUUCGGACCGUGGCCUUUGGACGGUUCGCCGUCUGUUGGCUGCGGGAAGUUCGUUAAACCUUAUCAUUUAGAGGAAGGAGAAGUCGUAACA